This is a long non-coding RNA of Dreissena polymorpha, 2398 nucleotides long. RefSeq lists it as uncharacterized. The record is from RefSeq and is a predicted model, not a curated record. The transcript is spliced from 2 exons. NCBI's taxonomy places the organism in Eukaryota, Metazoa, Mollusca, Bivalvia, Myida, Dreissenidae.
UUGAUGUGGUAUAUGGUUCUUGGCCCCACCAUUAAACCAUUAAAAAUUCAGCUUUAAUAUGGAGUUUUUUCCAUUAUGACAAACCUGAUUUUGUGUGUGUUUGUGUGUCUGUAUGUCAUAUAUGUAAAAGUAUAUUGUUCAAAGUGGAUAUGAUAAUUUUAAUAUGCCGAUUCAUUGAAAAAUAUAUGUCAAAGUAUAUUGUCCAAAGUGUAUAUGAUCACUUAGAUACGCGGAUAUCUUGCAUGUGAAUCAGUUUGGUUCGGUGUUAGCUUAUGUAUGUAGUAUUGUGCCUUCAUGUUACCCAGUUGUAAAUCAUGCUAUGGUUUUCCAUAUCAUUUUAAAUACGUUCCACUGUGUCAUUGUUGGAUUGAAUAGAAUUAUUCUUGUUUAACACAAACAGUUCUUAAGCAUUUUUAUGCCCCCCUUCAAAGAAGAGAGGGUAUAUUGCUUUGCUCAUGUCGGUCGGUCGGUCCGUCCACCAGGUGGUUGUCAGACGAUAACUCAAGAACGCUUGGGCCUAGGAUCAUGAAACUUCAUAGGUACAUUGAUCAUGACUCGCAGAUGACCCCUAUUGAUUUUGAGGUCACUAGGUCAAAGGUCAAGGUCACGGUGACCCGAAAUAGUAAAAUGGUUUCCGGAUGAUAACUCAAGAACGCUUAGGCCUAGGAUCAUGAAACUUGAUAGGUAGAUUGAUCAUGACUCGCAGAUGACCCCUAUUGAUUUUCAGGUCACUAGGUCAAAGGUCAAGGUCACAGUGACCCGAAAUAGUAAAAUGGUUUCCGGAUGAUAACUCAAGAACACUUAGGCCUAGGAUCAUGAAACUUGAUAGGUAGAUUGAUCAUGACUGGCAGAUGACCCCUAUUGAUUUUCAGGUCACUAGGUCAAAGGUCAAGGUCACGAUGACCCGAAAUAGUAAAAUGGUUUCCGGAUGGUAACUGAAGAACGCUUAUUCCUAGGAUCAUGAAACUUUAUAGGUAGAAUGAUCAUGACUCGCAGAUGACCCCUAUUGAUUUUCAGGUCACUAGGUCAAAGGUCAAGGUCAUGGUGACCUGAAAUAGUAAAAUGGUGUCCGGAUGAUAACUCAAGAAUGCUUAUGGCUAGGAUCAUGAAACUUCAUAGGUACAUUAAUCAUGACUGGCAGAUGACCCCUAUUGAUUUUCAGGUCACUAGGUCAAAGGUCAAGGUCACAGUGACAAAAAACAUUUUCAUUUCAAGUUAUAUUUAUUGAUGGGCGUUUUUUAAUUGACAUAAGUUUAGUUUGCUUUGAGAUAAAUUAAUUGUACAGUAUAUUCUGAUGUAAAUCAAUGGCUCAUAAAAGAAGAAAAAAAACUGAGAAAUUACAACAUGUUGACAUGAUCAUCUUAUUGUAAAAUUGUGAAUGUUGUGUGGUAAAAACACAUGUUGAAUACAUUGUUAUAACUAUUAUAAAAUUUAAUGUAUAAUAUAUGUAUUGUGUACAAUCUAAUUAAAAUAGUAUUGUUUUACGCUUUAUGGAUUUAAUAUUGAAACAUACCAGUAGUGUUUUGUUGAGAUUAGUUUUUUUAUUGGAAGCAUUCUUUAAUAUGACAGAAUGAGAAUAAUGCCUCUUAUUUUCUGUGCGAUUUGCAGUAGUUACCGCCCUUACAUUUAAUUAUUUCAACAAUAAUCCUUGUAUGUGUAAGAUUUUGUUCCCAUUAUGAAAGUAAUAUAUUGUGUCCUACAAUGGUUUGUUUAAAUGUUUGUGUAUUUAUGAAUUUCUGUUUUGCUAGUGCUGUGCCAAGUAAUGUUUUUUCAAUCACUGAAUUGAAAGAGCCGUGUUCUGAGAAAACUGGGCAUAAUGCAUGUGCGUAAAGUGUAGUCCCAGAUUAGCCUGUGCACAGGCUAAUCAGGGAUGAAAUUUUACGCACAUGCAUUAUGCCCAAUUUUUUCAGAACAAGACACGAAAGAAGACUGCUUGGCUAAUUACUGUGAAUUUACUUAAACUCUUGGACAUUAAAUUUUUCAGAUUUGUAAAGUCAAGCAUAUGUGUUGGAUCUUAAAUUAUUGCGUAAUUUAAAAUGUCUAAUAUUAAGCCUUAAGAUUUCAACAUAUGUGUUGAACGUUUGAUUGUGUUGUUGAUUGGACCAACAAUAAUCCACAAAAAUUAAUGUUCUACCAAUGAUAUUGGUUUCACAGAAUAACUGAAGGAAACGAUGAUAUAUUCAAUCUGACUUAUUUUAUGUUACAUGUGUUAAGUGACAUACUGGUAUUGUUAAACAUAAUUUUUUUGAAUUUGUCACACAUGAACAUGAAUGAAAAACAUAAUUAUAAUUAAAAACUAGCAUUCUUUGAAAGCUAUUGUGUACAAUUGCUUCAGAAUGUGUGAAUUUUAUUGACAUUGAAUUCACUAAUUACAAUAAAUGUACUGACAUAAAUAUUA